ACUCCUACGGGAGGCAGCAGUGAGGAAUAUUGGACAAUGGGCGAGGGCCUGAUCCAGCCAUGCCGCGUGCAGGAAGAAUGCCCUAUGGGUAGUAAACUGCUUUUAUACGGGAAGAAAAGGGCACGUGUGCCCUGUUGACGGUACCGUAAGAAUAAGGACCGGCUAACUCCGUGCCAGCAGCCGCGGUAAUACGGAGGGUCCGAGCGUUAAUCGGAAUUACUGGGCGUAAAGCGCAUGCAGGUGGUUUGUUAAAGUCAGAUGUGAAAGCCCGGGGUCAACCUCGGAAUAGCAUUUGAAACUGGCAAGCUAGAGUACUGUAGAGGGGGUGAGAAUUUCAGGAUGAGCGU
Molecule: ribosomal RNA, 347 nt
Filed under: uncultured bacterium
Lineage: Bacteria
Description: bacterial SSU rRNA
Rfam family: Bacterial small subunit ribosomal RNA
Source: RNAcentral